This is a long non-coding RNA of Mauremys reevesii (Reeves's turtle), 266 nucleotides long. RefSeq lists it as uncharacterized. The transcript is spliced from 3 exons. NCBI's taxonomy places the organism in Eukaryota, Metazoa, Chordata, Testudines, Geoemydidae. The record is from RefSeq and is a predicted model, not a curated record.
AUUCUCCAUAGCUCUGUAGCUAAGGUACCAUCCUGGGGUAUAAGAGACUGAAGUUCAACUCCCUGUACCCCAGCAAGGGGGAAUCAAACUCAGGUCUUCUGCAUCCUGGGCAAAGGCAAGAAGUCAGGAUUUAGUUGUCAAUACUGCAUUUGCAAUGGGAAGCGGGUGCCUAGUUCCCCUUGUCUCCCACAGAGAAUCAAAUUCUCAAAGAGACUAUGAAGUUGUAUUAGCACCAGAGAUGAUCAUGUAACAAGAAAAUGUUCUAU